GGGCCUACCAGGCGACGAUCAGUAGUUGGUCUGAGAGGACGACCAGCCACACUGGGACUGAGACACGGCCCAGACUCCUACGGGAGGCAGCAGUGGGGAAUUUUGGACAAUGGGCGCAAGCCUGAUCCAGCAAUGCCGCGUGAGUGAAGAAGGCCUUCGGGUUGUAAAGCUCUUUCAGUCGAGAAGAAAAGGCUGCAGUGAAUAACUGUAGUUUAUGACGGUAUCGACAGAAGAAGCACCGGCUAACUACGUGCCAGCAGCCGCGGUAAUACGUAGGGUGCGAGCGUUAAUCGGAAUUACUGGGCGUAAAGGGUGCGCAGGCGGUUUUGUAAGUCAGAUGUGAAAUCCCCGGGCUUAACCUGGGAAUU
RNAcentral lists this ribosomal RNA (368 nucleotides) under uncultured Nitrosomonas sp. RNAcentral's name for it is "bacterial SSU rRNA". It matches the Rfam family "Bacterial small subunit ribosomal RNA", at positions 261 to 622 of the family's 1533-position model. The record is from RNAcentral. Lineage: Bacteria; Pseudomonadati; Pseudomonadota; Betaproteobacteria; Nitrosomonadales; Nitrosomonadaceae.